CCUGAGGCGAAGCUUUCAUUUUGGAGAAGGAGGAGCUGGCGGAGGGUAGAGGAAGGAUGCUACGCAGGCAGAGCGUGCGUCUUUUCUUGUCGGCAACACGAGGAGAAGGACCGCAUCCAGCGGCGCUGCAUUCUCCGACCCUGACGGAGCUUCGGAGGCCGCUUCGUACUAGCGCCCCGCGGCGUUACGACCCUUUCCGAGAUCUGCCAAAGGAAUUGGACAAGUUCCGCAAGAAGGCGAAGGAGGCGUUUCCUGGCAGCGACUGGAGCCCUUUGCCUGUUUGGAGAGAGCUGCCUCCCGAACAGGCGGAUGUGGUCAUUGUUGGCGGAGGGGUGAUCGGGUGGUCAGUGGCCUACUGGCUGAAGAGGAACGAACCAAGGAGUGGGGCCAUCCGCGUGGUAGUGGUCGAAAGGGACCUCAGUGUGAGUGACCCGCCGCGCUUGGAAAUGUACCCCAAAGCAUCCACAGUUCUCUCUGUCGGGGGGAUACGGCAGCAGUACUCAAUGCCAGAAAAUAUCCAGAUGAGCCUGUUCUCAGCAAACUUCUUGCGCCUAAUCGACGAAUACCUUCAUGUUGUCGGCCAGCCACCUGUAGAUAUUCAGUUUAAUCCUUCUGGCUAUCUUUUCCUGGCUUCAGAUGAAAAAGCUGCAGUGCUUGAGGAGAAUGUGCAAGUUCAAAGGAAGGAAGGAGCAAAGGUGUCCCUGCUUUCACCAGCACAACUAAAAAAGAAAUAUCCAUGGAUGAAUACAGAUGGUGUGGCAUUGGCAUCCUGUGGCUUAGAAAAUGAGGGCUGGUUUGACCCUUGGAGCCUCUUGAAUGCCUUCCGAAGCAAAGCAAUAUCUAUGGGUGUCUAUCAGAGCUGUGGUGAAGUGACAUCUUUCACUUCAGAUGCCAAAGCAAUGGUGACAGAUGAUGGAGAGUAUAUUAAUUACUCCCGUAUCAUGAAUGUUAAUGUCCAGAUGCCCAACAGUACUGAGUAUGCCACAAUACAGUGUUCCCUAGUGGUGAAUGCAGCAGGAGCCUGGUCAAGCAGAGUGGCAGAGAUGGCUGGUAUUGGGACUGGGCCUCCAGACUCAGUAUCUGGGGUCAAGCUUCCAGUGGAACCCAAGAAAAGGUAUGUUUAUGUGUGGCACUGUCCGGAUGGGCCUGGCUUGGCAUGCCCCAUUCUGAUAGACACGACAGGAGCUUACUGCCGGAGGGAAGGUCUGGGUGGCAACUACCUUGGAGGCAUAAGCCCCACAGAAGAGGAAGAACCAGAUAUCCAGGACCUGGCUGUAGAUCAUGAGUUUUUUCAGGAGAAGGUCUGGCCUAAGUUGGCCCACCGGGUGCCCUGCUUUGAAUCCUUGAAGGUGAAGAGUUCUUGGGCCGGUUACUAUGAUUACAAUACUUUUGACCAAAACGCUGUGAUCGGCCUGCAUCCGCUGGUGGAAAACCUCUACUUUGCCACCGGCUUCAGUGGGCAUGGCUUGCAGCAGUCUCCAGCUGUUGGCCAAGCCAUAGCUGAGCUCAUCCUGGAUGGCAAAUACAAGACGAUCAACUUGGAGGCAUUUUCCUUCAACAGACUCAUCAAGGGGGAGAAAGCUCUAGAGAGGAAUAUUAUCUAAAAGCAUCACAGAACUGGGAAUCCAUUUUGGUGAAAGCAGAAGCAGUGGCCAGUGCACUCCCAUCGAGAAACAGGGACAAGAUGUACCUGAUGCUCGAGACUUGCUGCUGCCCUCCCAGUCGCCACUUCCACUUUUCCAAGGGCAGCCAAAGCAAGAAGAAGGUGUGCUUGGUGCCCAGGCCUUGCUUCCACACCUGCCCUGGCACCAUGUCUGUACCUGUUAAGUCCAUCACAGGAAGAAGAUGCCCCUUUUCCUUUCCAUCUGACUUCAUAGCAGCCAGUUCCAGUCCUGGAUUAACCUGACGUGGUACAAAGGUAUGGAAGACAGAUUCAUGUCGAGUCCUCAGGAACAUCCACAAUUGAAUUGGCAAAACCUUACCAUAACGAAGCACUGAUUUACUUUGAAUUUAAGCAGUCAAAAGCUUUGGUACGUACAUUUCAGCAUGGAAACAUAGUGGUGGGUUUUCCCCCCGAAAAGGUCAGUGUCCAACGUGGUCUCUUGCUACUGGGUUUUUUUUAGCUAUAAUGGACUCUUUGGCUUUCUGCUACAUCUAAUUGUUUGACACUGUUUACUGGCUGCGAUGAGACUGGAAACAUUAUCAAGGAUUCUCCCUGAGAUUUUCCCCUCCGAAAUGUAUCUUGAAGAAGACAUUUUUUUAUAUUUUUCCUUUGCUUUUGUAGUCGUUAUUUACAGCAACAUUGUAAAAAUGACAAAAAGAAAAGAAAACACCUUUAACAGCUGGAGGCAAGAUGGUCUUCCUUUAGAUGCCUGGUUUAAUUACAAAGCUCUGCCUAACCCUGUAAGAGAGGAGGAAGCCAUAGAAUCCAAGUUGGGAGGACUCCACAAAUGCAGAGCAGUCCAUCCCUUUCCUCUCUGCACAAGCAUAGGAAUCCGCUGUUAAAGGACUAAACAGGUGGACAUCCAAUCUCUGAUCAAUUAAGUCAGGCAAAAGAAGGAUCUGUGAGGAGUGUGAAUCCCUGCACAAAGCUCUUUUUUUUCUGUGCAGCCAUGUGGUAACCACUUGCUUAAAAUCCAGGUGGAAGGAACACAACAGGCAGCAUAUUACAUACACUGAAAAGUGCAUGGGAUAGAAGCAUUCUGAGCACAGCAGCUCUUUAAACUUCUGUGAGUGCUAAUACAAAACUCAAAUAUGGUUUGUUAUCCUGCAGUUUUAUCUUUUUAAUUAUAAGGCAGACAUAAAACUAAAUACUGUUUUUAAACCGAUGGAGGAUAAUCUCGUUAACUCCAACAGUAAUACUACCAACUUGAAAAGGUAAAAACAGUAGAUGUUUCAAAGCUGAAGGUUUUGAAAAGGCUCAUGGACAAAAGCCGGUGAUUGUGGUAUGCAUCUUUAUCUUACUCUUACCUUUCUAGAUUUCAAAAAAUUUGAUUAGGGCGAAAGUAAGAGAUAUGUACAUAUGAUGGAAAGCAGUAUUUUUCAUAUUUGUCACAGCAUAAAAAAAACCCCACAAACACACUGCUGUCAGUAGUUUUUUGUGGGGGGGUUUUAGCCCGAAAAACCCACAAAAAACUAUGGAUGCCAGCCAUGAAAGCCUUCGACUUCACACUGCUGUCAUUCUUAAGCCUAACUGCUAUUCAAAGGCUCAGAAGGGAGGUCAAAAAACCAAAGAGCUGAGGUCCUGAAGUAUAUAAAAUAACUAUCACAGAUAGUGUUCUGGAGAAAGGUAGAAAGAUAUAUUAAAAGACAUCUACUCAUCUUUUAAAAAGGGGAGCACUGACUAUGGAAAAUAAGCAUGUCACCGAAACUGUUGUAUCCCUUGGCCCACUCCCCAGACAGAGACCUACAGCCAGGAAUGCUGGCACAGAAGUACUCAACUGGAUUUGAUCUCUUGCAUUUGCUGUAGUAUGUAUUUUCUAUAGCUGUUAUCUUUAUGCCACUGGCUACAGCUUUCAGCCGCUUCAUCUUUUUAGUUUCUUUGUUGGCACUUUAGCUUUUAAGGGAGCUCCUGGACACUUCCGAUUGACACCUAAAAUGGGAAAAACACAUUCAGCAUUUGUGGUGCUACUGAUUGUAUACAGACUGACUUAUUAUUACACUUAUAACUGUCUUCUCAGAAAAGGGCUACUUUUUAUUUUACAAAUUACAUGCAUUUUUUUUACAUGAGAUCUCUUCUUUAGUUGAGUUCAUAGCUUGAGCCCAAUUGUACAACCACAUUUCUUGCAAGUUCAGAUCCAGAAGUUUGCAAAAUGGGCUCACAGUGAUGUAGAAGAUAAUGGUAUAUACUGUAUACACUCAUAUAAGUUUAGAAAUGUUAAACAAAAAAUUGACACCCAAAAACCUGGGGUGAUUUAUAUGGGGUUAAUGUCAGUACUAUAUUUUAACUUUCAACUAAAAAGGAACCGCCUGCUUCUCAGCGUCGUGUGGCGAAAGGUGAGAGCACCUAAAAGAUGCACUGACUCUCUCCUCCAAGGCACUGUUUUUGGCCCUUUUGAAUGCCUGGGCAGGAACAUGAUGGCAGUGGCAGCUUUUUGGUGCUUUGAAGGAUUUCAAUAAGAGAUUUGAAUAUGUUUGUCAUCUUUUCUGGGUUAAACUCAGGCAAAUUUAUCACAUUAAAUUUAAAUGCUAUCACUGCUAA
Sceloporus undulatus (fence lizard) is the source of this 4201-nucleotide RNA transcript. It is a transcript of the gene named FAD dependent oxidoreductase domain containing 1, with no coding region annotated. The transcript has 13 exons. The record is from RefSeq and is a predicted model, not a curated record. NCBI's taxonomy places the organism in Eukaryota, Metazoa, Chordata, Lepidosauria, Squamata, Phrynosomatidae.